GGAUACGGUAGCUGAAGAGAGCCGUCCGUUGACAGUUCACUAUGGACGCUGUCAUGGAGUCGCUCUCUUCAGACUCCUAGAU
Molecule: non-coding RNA, 82 nt
Organism: Haemonchus contortus (barber pole worm)
Lineage: Eukaryota; Metazoa; Nematoda; Chromadorea; Rhabditida; Trichostrongylidae
Source: Rfam